RNAcentral lists this transfer RNA (63 nucleotides) under human gut metagenome. It matches the Rfam family "tRNA", at positions 7 to 64 of the family's 71-position model. From Rfam's summary of the family: Transfer RNA (tRNA) molecules are approximately 80 nucleotides in length. Their secondary structure includes four short double-helical elements and three loops (D, anti-codon, and T loops). Further hydrogen bonds mediate the characteristic L-shaped molecular structure. tRNAs have two regions of fundamental functional importance: the anti-codon, which is responsible for specific mRNA codon recognition, and the 3' end, to which the tRNAs corresponding amino acid is attached (by aminoacyl-tRNA synthetases). tRNAs cope with the degeneracy of the genetic code in two manners: having more than one tRNA (with a specific anti-codon) for a particular amino acid; and 'wobble' base-pairing, i.e. permitting non-standard base-pairing at the 3rd anti-codon position. The record is from RNAcentral. RNAcentral also lists the same sequence under 1 other name.
GUUUAGCUCAGCUGGUUAGAGCGUCGGAUUGUGGUUCCGAAGGUCGUGGGUUCGAACCCCACA